GACGAACGCUGGCGGCGUGCUUAACACAUGCAAGUCGAACGGAGUGGCGAACGGGUGAGUAAUACCUAGGAAUCUGCCUGGUAGUGGGGGAUAACGUUCGGAAACGGACGCUAAUACCGCAUACUAUCAGAUGAGCCUAGGUCGGAUUAGCUAGUUGGUGAGGUAAUGGCUCACCAAGGCUACGAUCCGUAACUGGUCUGAGAGGAUGAUCAGUCACACUGGAACUGAGACACGGUCCAGACUCCUACGGGAGGCAGCAGUGGGGAAUAUUGGACAAUGGGCGAAAGCCUGAUCCAGCCAUGCCGCGUGUGUGAAGAAGGUCUUCGGAUUGUAAAGCACUUUAAGUUGGGAGGCGUUACCGACAGAAUAAGCACCGGCUAACUCUGUGCCAGCAGCCGCGGUAAUAC
Molecule: ribosomal RNA, 407 nt
Filed under: uncultured bacterium
Lineage: Bacteria
Description: partial 16S ribosomal RNA
Rfam family: Bacterial small subunit ribosomal RNA
Source: RNAcentral